AUUGAACGCUGGCGGCAUGCCUUACACGUGCAAGUCGAACGGCAGCACGGGAGCAAUCCUGGUGGCGAGUGGCGAACGGGUGAGUAAAGUAUCGGAACGUGCCCAGUCGUGGGGGAUAACGUAGCGAAAGUUACGCUAAUACCGCAUACGAUCUAUGGAUGAAAGCGGGGGAUCGCAAGACCUCGCGCGAUUGGAGCGGCCGAUAUCAGAUUAGGUAGUUGGUGGGGUAAAGGCUCACCAAGCCGACGAUCUGUAGCUGGUCUGAGAGGACGACCAGCCACACUGGGACUGAGACACGGCCCAGACUCCUACGGGAGGCAGCAGUGGGGAAUUUUGGACAAUGGGCGCAAGCCUGAUCCAGCCAUGCCGCGUGCAGGAUGAAGGCCUUCGGGUUGUAAACUGCUUUUGUACGGAACGAAAAGGUUUGGCCUAAUACGCUGAACUCAUGACGGUACCGUAAGAAUAAGCACCGGCUAACUACGUGCCAGCAGCCGCAGUAA
Molecule: ribosomal RNA, 500 nt
Filed under: uncultured bacterium
Lineage: Bacteria
Description: partial 16S ribosomal RNA
Rfam family: Bacterial small subunit ribosomal RNA
Source: RNAcentral